RNAcentral lists this ribosomal RNA (490 nucleotides) under uncultured bacterium. Its description in RNAcentral is "partial 16S ribosomal RNA". It matches the Rfam family "Bacterial small subunit ribosomal RNA", at positions 30 to 507 of the family's 1533-position model. The record is from RNAcentral.
AUUGAACGCUGGCGGCAGGCCUAACACAUGCAAGUCGAACGGUAACAGGAAGCAGCUUGCUGCUUUGCUGACGAGUGGCGGACGGGUGAGUAAUGUCUGGGAAACUGCCCGAUGGAGGGGGAUAACUACUGGAAACGGUAGCUAAUACCGCAUAACGUCGCAAGACCAAAGAGGGGGACCUUAGGGCCUCUUGCCAUCGGAUGUGCCCAGAUGGGAUUAGCUAGUAGGUGGGGUAACGGCUCACCUAGGCGACGAUCCCUAGCUGGUCUGAGAGGAUGACCAGCCACACUGGAACUGAGACACGGUCCAGACUCCUACGGGAGGCAGCAGUGGGGAAUAUUGCACAAAGGGCGCAAGCCUGAUGCAGCCAUGCCGCGUGUAUGAAGAAGGCCUUCGGGUUGUAAAGUACUUUCAGCGGGGAGGAAGGGAGUAAAGUUAAUACCAUUGCUCAUUGACGUUACCCGCAGAAGAAGCACCGGCUAACUCCGUG